GAUGAACGCUGGCGGCGCGCCUAACACAUGCAAGUCGAACGGCACCCCUCCUCGGAGGGCAGCGAGUGGCGAACGGCUGAGUAACACGUGGAGAACCUGCCCCCUCCCCCGGGAUAGCCGCCCGAAAGGACGGGUAAUACCGGAUACCCCGGGGUGCCGCAUGGCACCCCGGCUAAAGCCCCGACGGGAGGGGAUGGCUCCGCGGCCCAUCAGGUAGACGGCGGGGUGACGGCCCACCGUGCCGACAACGGGUAGCCGGGUUGAGAGACCGACCGGCCAGAUUGGGACUGAGACACGGCCCAGACUCCUACGGGAGGCAGCAGUGGGGAAUCUUGCGCAAUGGGGGGAACCCUGACGCAGCGACGCCGCGUGCGGGACGGAGGCCUUCGGGUCGUAAACCGCUCUCAGCAGGGAAGAGUCAAGACUGUACCUGCAGAAGAAGCCCCGGCUAACUACGUG
Molecule: ribosomal RNA, 459 nt
Filed under: uncultured bacterium
Lineage: Bacteria
Description: partial 16S ribosomal RNA
Rfam family: Bacterial small subunit ribosomal RNA
Source: RNAcentral